GGAAAGUCCAGUGGCGGACACCAUGACUUCUGACAGAGGUUCUUUGGUUGGAGAUGCUACCUUGAGAGUAUGCUCACUGCUGGAGGACCUUUGUCAACUCCCCACCUGGGGCAGAAGGUCAUUACCCAAGAUAUCCCUCUGACUUCACGAGGCUGUAUGCACUGGAACUCCACUGUAUAAUUCUAG
Molecule: long non-coding RNA, 186 nt
Organism: Erinaceus europaeus (western European hedgehog)
Lineage: Eukaryota; Metazoa; Chordata; Mammalia; Eulipotyphla; Erinaceidae
Exons: 3
Source: RefSeq, a predicted model, not a curated record